AUUGCAGGCUGCAACUCGCCUGCAUGAAGCUGGAAUUGCUAGUAAUCGCGGAUCAGCAAGCCGCGGUGAAUACGUUCCCGGGCCUUGUACACACCGCCCGUCACACCAUGAGAGUCGGGAACACCCGAAGUCCGUAGUCUAACCGCAAGGGGGGCGCGGCCGAAGGUGGGUCCGGUAAUUGGGGUGAAGUCGUAACAAGGUAGC
This 204-nucleotide ribosomal RNA is filed under the name uncultured bacterium. RNAcentral describes it as "partial 16S ribosomal RNA". It matches the Rfam family "Bacterial small subunit ribosomal RNA", at positions 1297 to 1500 of the family's 1533-position model. The record is from RNAcentral.